UACGUAGGUCCCGAGCGUUGUCCGGAUUUAUUGGGCGUAAAGCGAGCGCAGGUGGUUUAUUAAGUCUGGUGUAAAAGGCAGUGGCUCAACCAUUGUAUGCAUUGGAAACUGGUAGACUUGAGUGCAGGAGAGGAGAGUGGAAUUCCAUGUGUAGCGGUGAAAUGCGUAGAUAUAUGGAGGAACACCGGUGGCGAAAGCGGCUCUCUGGCCUGUAACUGACACUAAGGCUCGAAAGCGUGGGAAGCAAACAGG
Molecule: ribosomal RNA, 252 nt
Filed under: uncultured bacterium
Lineage: Bacteria
Description: partial 16S ribosomal RNA
Rfam family: Bacterial small subunit ribosomal RNA
Source: RNAcentral